UCUCACACCACAACGCUUGCUUCGGUGUCUGAGCUGCGGAUCGCGAGUAUCUUUAUAGUAAGGAUCUCACCGAUUUCAUGUGAAGCCUAUUUUUUGGUCGGAUGCAGUUUACUUCUCGAGACGAGCAGUUGUUUCUAUUGCAAUACAUAUGUUUAUAUCUUCUCGUUCGGUAGUUUGAGAACUGAGGAGAACGAGGUCCACUGUAAUAGAUAUUGUGUGUCGAGUAAUUUAGGUAUGUGUUUAUUCUUAAAAGCUCGUUUCUAAUUUCUUGAAAGGUUGUGUUAAUAUCUGAACUUUUAAUCCUUUUGUUUAAUCCACGCACGUGGCGUGCUAAUAUGUUGUGCUCAUGAGCACGUGCUAGCAGCGUGACUCUCCUCAUUCACCGAGAGAGGUUGUUUGCAGUUGCAGUGGACUACAUCGAGAUUCCAUUUAACCCUAACCAACUUGCUGAACAGAUGAAUGUAUUUAAACCUAAAGGGGUAGCUCACCCAAACAUGAAAAUUAUGACUUAUCGUUUCAAACAUUGAGUUUCUUCUGUUAAAAGAAAAAUGAUAUUUUGUAGAUAUUUUUACUUCUAUAGCAAGUAAAAGAAACAAUUGAGGUAAUUUUUUUUUUAUUGUUUUAUAUUCGCUCAUUCUGACUACUUUAAUAUAAUUUUAGAUAUGUAUUCUUUGCAAAUUCUGAAUAGAGAAAUUAUAUUAGCAGCCGAUUACUGUCAAAGUACUCGGUCAAAUACAGUCAAAUAAAUGGUGCUAAUAUUGUUUUGAAAUCAUUAUUACAUGAGUUUCAGAUCGAAUAUUUAGAGUAGCGUGGUAAACCAUCUGGGGACUGUUAAAAUGAACGUAUGUGCAAAUAUAAAACCUACUUUACCUUAAAGAAAUACUGUGGAAGUCAACAGUUGCAUGAUUUCAGCUUUCUUCAAAAUUCAUCUUGUGUUCAACAAGAAAUUGGAACUACUUGACAGUUAGUAAAAUGAGAAAUGUUUGGGUUAACUAUUCCUUAAGUGUCUUUGAUCUCAGAGUUAUAAUUUAUUAUUAUGACAUGCAUUGGAACAGGCUGAGGUUUGUAUUUUUUACAGUGUGUUAACUUUAAUGCCAAGUGGUUUUAAUUCCGUAAUUUAUUUUUUUUUACUUUGUUUGUCAAUGUAUCUGUUUGUAUAUCAGAACAAUUCUGUAUGUCUUGCUGUAUAUAAUAAAGAAAAUUGAUCUCUA
Molecule: long non-coding RNA, 1211 nt
Organism: Danio aesculapii
Lineage: Eukaryota; Metazoa; Chordata; Actinopteri; Cypriniformes; Danionidae
Exons: 2
Source: RefSeq, a predicted model, not a curated record